This 253-nucleotide ribosomal RNA is filed under the name uncultured bacterium. RNAcentral's name for it is "partial 16S ribosomal RNA". It matches the Rfam family "Bacterial small subunit ribosomal RNA", at positions 524 to 776 of the family's 1533-position model. The record is from RNAcentral.
UACAGGGGGUGCAAACGUUGCUCGGAAUCAUUGGGCGUAAAGCGCACGCAGGUGGCUGAGUCAGUCGAUUGUGAAAGCCCUGGGCUUAACCUGGGAAUUGCAGUCGAUACUACUCGGCUUGAGUAUGGGAGAGGGCAGUGGAAUUCCCGGUGUAGCGGUGAAAUGCGUAGAUAUCGGGAGGAACAUCAGUGGCGAAGGCGGCUGCCUGGCCCAAUACUGACACUCAGGUGCGACAGCGUGGGGAGCAAACAGG